GACAGAGGGGGCAAACGUUGUUCGGAAUUACUGGGCGUAAAGCGCGUGUAGGCUGCUCAGAAAGUCGGAUGUGAAAGCCCUGGGCUUAACCUAGGAAGUGCAUUCGAAACUUCUGAGCUUGAGUUCUGGAGAGGAAGGCGGAAUUCUCGGUGUAGAGGUGAAAUUCGUAGAUAUCGAGAGGAACACCGGUGGCGAAGGCGGCCUUCUGGACAGUGACUGACGCUGAGACGCGAAAGCGUGGGGAGCAAACAGG
This 253-nucleotide ribosomal RNA is filed under the name uncultured bacterium. RNAcentral's name for it is "partial 16S ribosomal RNA". It matches the Rfam family "Bacterial small subunit ribosomal RNA", at positions 524 to 776 of the family's 1533-position model. The record is from RNAcentral.